RNAcentral lists this ribosomal RNA (497 nucleotides) under uncultured bacterium. RNAcentral's name for it is "partial 16S ribosomal RNA". It matches the Rfam family "Bacterial small subunit ribosomal RNA", at positions 28 to 507 of the family's 1533-position model. The record is from RNAcentral.
GACGAACGCUGGCGGCGUGCCUAAUACAUGCAAGUUGAGCGCUGAAGGUUGGUACUUGUACCAACUGGAUGAGCAGCGAACGGGUGAGUAACGCGUGGGGAAUCUGCCUUUGAGCGGGGGACAACAUUUGGAAACGAAUGCUAAUACCGCAUAAAAACUUUAAACACAAGUUUUAAGUUUGAAAGAUGCAAUUGCAUCACUCAAAGAUGAUCCCGCGUUGUAUUAGCUAGUUGGUGAGGUAAAGGCUCACCAAGGCGAUGAUACAUAGCCGACCUGAGAGGGUGAUCGGCCACAUUGGGACUGGGACACGGCCCAAACUCCUACGGGAGGCAGCAGUAGGGAAUCUUCGGCAAUGGACGAAAGUCUGACCGAGCAACGCCGCGGGAGUGAAGAAGGUUUUCGGAUCGUAAAACUCUGUUGGUAGAGAAGAACGUUGGUGAGAGGGGAAAGCUCAUCAAGUGACGGUAACUACCCAGAAAGGGACGGCUAACUACGUG